CCUACGGGAGGCAGCAGUCGGGAAUAUUGCUCAAUGGAGGAAACUCUGACGCAGUGACGCCGCGUGCAGGAAGAAUGUUUUCGGAUUGGAAAAUGCUUUAUACAGGGGAGUAAAGAGACAUUACCUGUCGAAUAAGCUCCGGCUAACUACGUGCCAGCCGCCGCGGUAAUACGUAGGGAGCAAGCGUUAUCCGGAUUUAUUGGGUUUAAAGGGUGCGUAGACGGAUAAGCAAGUUAGUUGUGAAAUCCCUCGGCUUAACCGAGGAACUGCAACUAAAACUACUUCCCUUGAGUACUGGAGAGGAAAGUGGAAUUCCUAGUGUAGCGGUGAAAUGCGUAGAUAUUAGGAGGAACACCAGUGGCGAAGGCGGCUUACGGGACUGUAACUGACGUUGAGGCUCGAAAGCGUGGGGAGCAAACAGGAUUAGAUACCCCAGUAGUC
This 441-nucleotide ribosomal RNA is filed under the name uncultured bacterium. Its description in RNAcentral is "partial 16S ribosomal RNA". It matches the Rfam family "Bacterial small subunit ribosomal RNA", at positions 338 to 795 of the family's 1533-position model. The record is from RNAcentral.